Long non-coding RNA from Arachis duranensis, 289 nucleotides. RefSeq lists it as uncharacterized. The transcript is spliced from 3 exons. The record is from RefSeq and is a predicted model, not a curated record. Lineage: Eukaryota; Viridiplantae; Streptophyta; Magnoliopsida; Fabales; Fabaceae.
AGUCCCGAUCCAGGUUUUUGUGCCGGCAUCCCAACAAACAACCACUGACACAGAUUUCGAACCAACCCCUAUGCUACAGAUUGAAGGGACUAGAGAAACCACUCCUGAACCCCCCAAACAACUUCAAGAAACCACACCCACGCUUCCCCCAGCUCCAACUAAAAUUCAUCCAGCUGCAGAAGACGCUGCUGCCCUGUUGAUGAUGGCACGGACAGCAACCUAUGUUCCUAAAACAGAUCCAGGGAUGCCAUCAUUCAGCCUUGGAUUGACAGAUUCAAGCCAGGAGGGG